RNAcentral lists this ribosomal RNA (253 nucleotides) under uncultured bacterium. RNAcentral describes it as "partial 16S ribosomal RNA". It matches the Rfam family "Bacterial small subunit ribosomal RNA", at positions 524 to 776 of the family's 1533-position model. The record is from RNAcentral.
UACGUAGGGGGCAAGCGUUGUCCGGAAUUAUUGGGCGUAAAGAGCGCGUAGGCGGUCCGAUAAGUCGGCUGUGAAAGUCCAGGGCUCAACCCUGGAAAGCCGGCCGAUACUGUCGGACUAGAGUCCGGAAGAGGCGAGUGGAAUUCCCGGUGUAGCGGUGAAAUGCGCAGAUAUCGGGAGGAACACCAAUGGCGAAGGCAGCUCGCUGGGACGGUACUGACGCUGAGACGCGAAAGCGUGGGGAGCGAACAGG